Long non-coding RNA from Tupaia belangeri chinensis (Chinese tree shrew), 421 nucleotides. RefSeq lists it as uncharacterized. The transcript is spliced from 3 exons. The record is from RefSeq and is a predicted model, not a curated record. Lineage: Eukaryota; Metazoa; Chordata; Mammalia; Scandentia; Tupaiidae.
ACUGCAGUCCAGCCGGAGUGCAGAGUGAAAUGCAAUUUGAAGAGGCUGGCUUUUGGUGUGUCACUGAAAGCCACUGAGUAUAUGGGCACGGGGAGACCGUUCAGUGUGCCUAAGGAUGAGCUCUCGUCCCUUGGUGGGGGACUGCAUGAUGCCAGUCAAGGCACACACAUCCUGCAUCCAGCUUGUUCCUCACGCCUCUGAAUCUGGGACUUAAACUGCACAGUUGACUAGGUAGGACUCAGCCACCUUCAUCGCCAUUUCAGUGACCGGCCCGAUAAUAUUCUUGUCUCCAAGUUACAGACGAAGGAAUGUAGACUCCGAGAUCACACAGAGGGAAGCCAGGAUCUGAACCCAGGAAGGGGCCACCCCUCUGUCUUAGUGGUUGAAGAAACUGGAUCCCACACAGCUGAUUGUGGUUCAA